Molecule: non-coding RNA, 123 nt
Filed under: Proboscia alata
Lineage: Eukaryota; Bacillariophyta; Melosirophyceae; Probosciales; Probosciaceae
Source: RNAcentral
AACCUCCUACGGUUACCGACGCGUACCCCGCAUCCACCAGCAACGAAACGUGCACCGAAAAUACCAAUUUAUGGGAUGUGCGAACCGAGGAUGAAUUCCACGGCCGCGUGACACUGAAGGGAG